This 548-nucleotide ribosomal RNA is filed under the name uncultured Glomus. RNAcentral describes it as "SSU rRNA". It matches the Rfam family "Eukaryotic small subunit ribosomal RNA", at positions 549 to 1098 of the family's 1831-position model. Lineage: Eukaryota; Fungi; Glomeromycota; Glomeromycetes; Glomerales; Glomeraceae. The record is from RNAcentral.
UGGAGGGCAAGUCUGGUGCCAGCAGCCGCGGUAAUUCCAGCUCCAAUAGCGUAUAUUAAAGUUGUUGCAGUUAAAAAGCUCGUAGUUGAAUUUCGGGGUCAUCAGGUUGGUCGUGCCACUGGUAUGCACUGGCCUUGGUGAUUCCUCCUUCUUGUAGAGCCGUGAUGCCAUUAAUUUGGUGUUGCGGGGAAACAGGACUGUUACUUUGAAAAAAUUAGAGUGUUUAAAGCAGGCUCACGCUUGAAUACAUUAGCAUGGAAUAAUAAAAUAGGACGUUCGAUCCUAUUUUGUUGGUUUCUAGGGUUGACGUAAUGAUUAAUAGGGAUAGUUGGGGGCAUUAGUAUUCAAUUGUCAGAGGUGAAAUUCUUGGAUUUAUUGAAGACUAACUACUGCGAAAGCAUUUGCCAAGGAUGUUUUCAUUAAUCAAGAACGAAAGUUAGGGGAUCGAAGACGAUCAGAUACCGUCGUAGUCUUAACCAUAAACUAUGCCGACUAGGGAUCGGAUGAUGUUAAUUUUUUAAUGACUCAUUCGGCGCCUUACGGGAAAC